RNAcentral lists this transfer RNA (85 nucleotides) under Chitinimonas taiwanensis DSM 18899. Its description in RNAcentral is "tRNA_Leu_TAA". It matches the Rfam family "tRNA". From Rfam's summary of the family: Transfer RNA (tRNA) molecules are approximately 80 nucleotides in length. The record is from RNAcentral. RNAcentral also lists the same sequence under 1 other name. Lineage: Bacteria; Pseudomonadati; Pseudomonadota; Betaproteobacteria; Neisseriales; Chitinibacteraceae.
GCCCGGAUGGUGAAACUGGUAGACACAAGGGACUUAAAAUCCCUCGGCGCAAGCUGUGCCGGUUCGAUUCCGGCUCCGGGCACCA